RNAcentral lists this long non-coding RNA (205 nucleotides) under Cucumis sativus (cucumber). RNAcentral's name for it is "long non-coding RNA (CSAT_LNC000684)". Lineage: Eukaryota; Viridiplantae; Streptophyta; Magnoliopsida; Cucurbitales; Cucurbitaceae. The record is from RNAcentral.
AAGAGCUACAUUUUUUUGUAACAAAAACUACAUCUUUUUAGGGUAAUUAAUGAAUUGCCAAAAUGGAAAAAUGUUAUACAAAUUACAAUUACCUACUUUACAAAAGUAAGAAGAAGAAAAAAAAAACCCAAGAUUCCUCUUUUGAAGAACAUUGGCAAUGGAGAUUAAUAGUUUAGAGAGAAAGAGAAAGAGAGAGAGAGAGAGA